CUAUUACUGAGAGUUCCCUUCAAGCACUUCACGAAGAACUUUUUCCAGGUAUUAUGUGAAGUGUUUGGGGGAACUCUUGGUGCAAC
RNAcentral lists this microRNA precursor (86 nucleotides) under Triticum aestivum (bread wheat). RNAcentral's name for it is "mir-395 microRNA precursor family". It matches the Rfam family "mir-395 microRNA precursor family". Rfam says of the family: mir-395 was identified in both Arabidopsis thaliana and Oryza sativa computationally and was later experimentally verified. mir-395 is thought to target mRNAs coding for ATP sulphurylases. The mature sequence is excised from the 3' arm of the hairpin. The record is from Rfam by way of RNAcentral. Lineage: Eukaryota; Viridiplantae; Streptophyta; Magnoliopsida; Poales; Poaceae.